RNAcentral lists this ribosomal RNA (253 nucleotides) under uncultured bacterium. Its description in RNAcentral is "partial 16S ribosomal RNA". It matches the Rfam family "Bacterial small subunit ribosomal RNA", at positions 524 to 776 of the family's 1533-position model. The record is from RNAcentral.
UACGGAAUGUGCAAGCGUUAUUCGGAAUCACUGGGCUUAAAGAGUCCGUAGGCGGCUUGUUAGGUGAGGUGUGAAAUCCCCCGGCUCAACCGAGGAAUUGCGCUUCAAACCGGCAAGCUCGAGGAGGAUAGAGGUGGGCGGAACUGAUGGUGGAGCGGUGAAAUGCGUUGAUAUCAUCAGGAACACCGGAGGCGAAAGCGGUCCACUGGGUCCUUUCUGACGCUGAGGGACGAAAGCUAGGGGAGCGAACGGG